This is a long non-coding RNA of Sparus aurata (gilthead seabream), 3790 nucleotides long. The record is from Ensembl. NCBI's taxonomy places the organism in Eukaryota, Metazoa, Chordata, Actinopteri, Spariformes, Sparidae.
AUGCAGGUUGAAGAACAGCCAUUUGCAACAUCCAGGACAUUCAGCUCCAAGACUGUCUAUCUACUCAUGUACAAAGCACUACAGGGAUGUCAUUAUAGCCGGUAUGAUCAGGGAGGUGCAAAUGAUCUCAACUUACUCUCACUGAAUGAUAACCAUGGUACAACCUACAGUGAGGAAAGCAGCUUAAAAAAGGCUGCCAACACAAAAUCAUGUUCUGGAGACCACAAGGUGUCCUGUGACGAGAAGAUAAAAACAACAAGUGUGAGUUUUGACCUUAAAAUCUCAACACAAACUGUCGACAGAUCAAAUUUGAUACUGUAUUCAAAUAAAAAGGUGUUUGUUAGUUUACAAUUCAAGACUCAAGGUUAUAAUAUUCAUUAAAGUAGGAAUAUGACAGUGUAGAAAUACUCUGUUAUAAGUAAAUUCAAAAUCUUGCUUAAAGUGACUACAAGGAACCGUGACUUUCUGUUGAUUCCAGCGCCCCUUUGGACAAAAGUGUUAUGAUCUGUUGUAAAGAUCUUUGUUAGCACUUGCUGGCAGUGCAUGCAUUUGUUUUAGAAGCGAGUGACAGAAAGACCACAGGAUGGAUCAGUACUGUGAUGUAUUUAUAUGUAAUUUUAUGUUCCUCGUAGUCACUUUAAAUAAAAGUCACAAAAUGUUUUAAUUUUUUCCUGUAAUUAUAAUCUAAAUCUGCAAAUAAAAGUAAAUAAGUCAUUUAUUUCCAAGUCUUUGUCCUACAAUAGCGACAAGUAACAUCUUCAGAACCUGCUGUCUUUUACAGAGCUCUGCUAAGAAAAUGAUCACUGAACACAAGGUGGAACUCAUCAACUGUCUGAGUGCCGAUCAUUCCUAUAUUCUGCAACAUGCACAUGCCAAACAGAUCAUCACAGACAGACAAUAUCAGAAUAUAAAGGAAAAGUCUCCCUCAACACCGCAAGAAACUGUCACUGACCUGAUUGAUCACGUGAUUUUGAAGACUGGACCAGAAAGCUGGACUGCUUUUCUUGAAGUUCUCAAACUUCCUGAUGUUCUGAGCACUUAUCCGCGGCUCAAAGAAAUCAUAAAUGAAAUGCUGCGCAGCAAUAGUGGAUGCAAUGUGUGGCACCUAAAACAGGGUGACCACAUGUAGGUGGUAAGAUUUCCUCAAUGAGUAUCACAAUUAAUGUUGUUAUUGUAUAUUGUAGCGAGCAGCAGCAAGACUUAGACACACGUAAUAAUUGAUUAUGCGUUAACUCCGGAGUUAUGCCGUGUAUUUAUUUGAAAGACACUCAUCAAUGUGCCAUCAACCUAGCUAAAUCACUGGGGCGACUCACCGUUUCACUCACGGUGUGAUAACAACACGCUAACCCACGACCAUGUUGGACUUGAACGUCCAUGGGCUUUCCCCAGGGGCGGUUCUAGGGGGCGGGGCCAACAGGGGCCAGUGCCCCCGUAACUCUGAGUCUGGACCCCCCCUGUGGCCCCCCUGACAGGGAGUCUGCAUCAAUAAUACAAUGACAGAUUCCUUGCAAUGAUUUUGUUCUGAAGGGAAAGGCUGAAAUAAAGUGUCUCAGCAGUUUACUACCCAAUCAAAAUUGCUGAAAUUGUAAACACUGUUUUGUCUGAAUGAGGGAUUUAUCCUUUUUUCCGGGUUGUAUGUGCCCCCUAAAGGCAGGAACACACCAGCCCAACCGUUGGACAUCUGAAGCGUUUGGAGAGACUCGGACGAGGUCGGGAACAUAUAUGUUUGGUGUGUUCGGCUCUGUCGGAAGCUUUCGGAGCCGCGCGGACGUUGUCGGAUCCGACUGAGCAUGCGAAGUCUGAGGAGGAGGGCCGUCGGACGUCUGAGCCAUUGGAUCCUCUGAUUGGUUGUGUGCCAGCUGAAUGGCCGUUCUGAUUGGCGGUGUGCUGGCGAAUCAGCGCGGUGUGUGGAGGGGCGGAAUACUGUUUGCGCUUUGUUUUUCUAUGCACUCCGUUCCGUCAUUCCCCGUUUUCAUGUUUUGCAGUACUGGCACCAAACUAGUUGUUACGUCCGUUCAGGACGAAUUAAUUUGUGUAAGUUUGGUAAUGCCUCGCUGCAUGUUUAGUAUGCAGCUGUUUUUUAUCGGAAAUAGUUAAUUUUGUUUUGAUCGAAAGUAAAGAGAGUUGCGUGCAUAAGGUUCUCGUUGACAACUCACAACACAAGCGCCACUCGCUUAUUGCAUCUCGCGCAAGCGCAGAACGUACACACUACUGUGGUAGGCAGCACGUGGAAGCGGUGUGUUCAAUGCAAAUUUUCUGCCGAACGGGUCAGACAAGAGGCAACGGAGUGGUCAGAGAGUGGUCGGAUAAGGCAGUUGGACGUCUGGGCCUUAACAAAAAAGCCGGCCCCAACCUGGCCCCCCUAUUAAAACUGGUCUAGAACCACCACUGGCUUUCCCCAACAUGUAAUAAAAUAUUUAUGUUCCAUUUAUAUUGGAAAUGGGGGGUAACGUUUGUGUUCUCAUGAGUUAGGGAAUGAGAGAAUGGUUAGGGAGCGCAAUUGCUGCUGUCUCCUCAGGGGGAAUCUGGAAAGAAAACAAGACACAGGUUGUCUUCAUUCCUCUGCUUUACUUGCUUUAUAAAGGUCGGUAAACGGUUAAUGCACCAUGAAAUGUUACCUUAUAUUGACAGAUAUUAUAAGUGCGAGUCUCUCUGUGAAGUUUGUAAUCUGGUUUGAUGAGUUAUUCAUGUUUAAACAUUAAUAUGUUCAAAGUUUUCCUGCGCGGACGCCAUUUUGGUCUCAGCGUGUCUGCAGUUGCACUAGUUAAAGUGGAAUUAAGCGAGAUUAAAACUUCUGUACAUGAUGUGUUCCCCAGCUAGUCGCGAAUUAUGUAUGUUUUAUAUGGAUAUGUACGUUUGUUUAGAUUGAAAUACUUAUGGUUACAAAUUUAAUUUAUCUUUGUUCAUAAACUUGUUUCCAGGUAUAUCUAAGUUUAAAAAUGUAACACCAGCACUUUGUUUGGAUACACAUUUCAGUGGUCUAUUGUAUUUAAAGGUGUUUUAUACACUGUAAAACUACAUCAUAUGAAAACAGUGUUUUGAACCAGUUUAUACUGUGAAAUGGACACAGAAAAUGUCAUGUAUUUCCAGAAACUGUUUAUUGAUACAAAUUUAAAUAUGUGAUUAGAAAAGAGAAGAUGAGAGAAAAUGUAUGUUAGUGAUUUAAAGGCUGAAUUGCAAACAGUGAAAUUGAACUACAUAAACUGUGAUGAGGUAAAACGAUAUGCAUUGUGCUUAUGUGACUGUUACAAUACAUGAUGUUAAAUAAAUCAUACACAGAGGCAAUCUGGAAAGGAAACGAGACACACUGUGUCCUCAUUCCUCGGCUUUACCUGCUUUAUACAGGUAGCAUAUUUGUUACUGUGGUCUCCCAUCCCUGGAAUCUGUAACAAAUGCAAAAGUUGUUAACUGUAAUGUAGAACUGACACUUGUAGUCUGAAUUUGCAGAGUGAGGAUACGCUAAACUGGAAAAGUGACAUGAUUUAAGUAAGGCUGUUUAUGUAAUUUCUGCUUGCCAGUUUUUCUACUCAUAUCAAGUAAUAUUUUUCAAGUCUCCCCUUUUCCUUCCAAAAUGCACAUAAAAGGAUCACAGCUACAGCGUUUUCCUUUGACUGAUUAUAACUAACAAUAGUUUUGUCUUGUGAAAAUUAAUGUCAGCAAAAAAAAUUAAAAUAAUACUGGCUUUGCUGAAAUUACAGACUGUGAAGGCCUCAGCUUUUAUCUGUCAUUGGGUGUCAUGUUGAUACAUUUUGACUGUAUUACCUAUUUUCUUUCUUGUGUAAACUAAGCA